UUUUAGCUUCUACAUGUGAGGCUGCUACCUUGGUUAUUCCAUUAUGAGUGAUGAUCAGCUUAAAGGGGAAUCCCCAUUUGUAUUUUAUCCCUGCAUUGCGAAGUAAUGUGGUGUAUGCUUUGAAUUCACAACGUCGCUGCAAGAUCCCAUGAGAAAGGUCUUGGAAGAUAGCUAUAAUAGAGUCCUCAUGUUCUAUUUUUUCCAGUUUUCUGAAACGUUGCAUUAAAUCAUUUUUCACCAAGAACGUGUUAAAGCGGACAAUCACAUCUCUGGGGGGUUCCCGUUUUUUAGGUUUUGGUCUCAGGGCUCUGUGUAUGCGUUCUAUAUUUUCUGCGCUGAUUUUGCAGUCAGGAAAUAAUUCUUGAAUCCACAUGAGGAAGGCCACUUUUAGAUCUGAGUCUCCAAAAUUUUCAGUGUGUAGCCUGUUUAGCCCAAUAACUUCACGGGGAAAGUCAACAUGCCGAACUGGGAAGGAGGCAGAGUGGCAGAGAGCAGACCUUGUAAAUCAACAGGCUCAGGUGUGAACAGAAGAUCAAGCAUGUAACCAUGAGCUAACUUUCAUCUUGUGUUUGCCCAGCUUAUCGAACCACCAAAGCUUCUCACAGGACAGAGUUACCAUGUUUUAGCAAGAGGCAUUAUUUUGAACCUCACUGAACUUCUUUUCAGAAAUUCAAUAAUUCUCCAGGAGUGAUAAUAACUCUUGAAAAUCAAACUAAUUUGUAAAUGCAAUUUGUAAAUAAAAGCCAAACUAAUUUGUAAAUGCAAAAUAUUUUUGGACUUUUGCACAUGUAGGAGAUUGAUUAUUAGUUCAUGAAGGCUCUAAGGGACCGUACACAUUUUUGUUUGUCCUGUUAUUUCAAGUUUUGGGCCUAAGAGGGUUUGGGGGGGGGGGUUGUCCCACUGCUUUCUCUCAGGGAAAUCCAUUGUUUACUGCUUAAUCAGAAUAAACAUAAAUCCGCAGAAAACCUGAUUGACAUUUGUUCUGAUUCAGCGGUUAACAAGUUUUUACGGGGAAAGUGUUGGAACAAAAAAAGCCCUUCUCAGGCAUGUGACUUGAAAUCAUGGGGCAACCAGACAUAUGUGUGGGCCCCAAGUCUCCUUGCAUGCCUGUCUCACAGUUAUUGAAUUCAGCCAAUUUUAGACAGAAAUUUCAAACAGCUAAUGCAGAAAAAAAAUAAUUGCUGGAACAUUGCUGAGAUAAGACUUGAGAACGUGGCCAGGGUCUCUACCAGUGUGACAUGUGACGCUGCACUGCCCCCACACUGUGGCGGGAGUCUAGGCGGCCUGUCCGCAACCCAGCCCCACCCGGAAGUGAAGCCGAUUUUCUGGGUGUAAGUUUUGGGAGCACUUGCAGUUGACUGUUAACAUGACUUUAACCUUGUAUUAUAAUUCCAGAAGAUCUGUGUUUCCUUCCCAUGAUAUCCUGUAUCGUGGGUAACGAACUGAAUGUAGUCAGAUCCUUACUCUUCAAGUGCCGAAACUUAGAGCUACAGUAUAUUCAGAAGUACAAAUGAACAUUUCUUGCCUUCUAGUCUCCAAUGUAAUUAGCACCACUGAUUAUUUUCAUGAGGGACUCUCUGUUCUUGUCAAAAUCUUUACCAUAACAACUUCUGAAUUAUAAUACAGCUGUAACUGCCUGUACUACCGUGUUCAGUGGAGGAAGAAAUGCAGAAGGAACAUCUCAAAAAUGAAAUUAAUUAAACUGGCUAAUGUUCUCAAAGUUCUCUGAAGAUGAAAAGCUCUACAGUAGUUUCAAAUUAUGAUAAUUAAAUCACCAAAACGCUGUACUUGAGAUUUUACUCAGUGAACCUCACAAUAACUGUAUAAGAUGGGUCAGUAACUGAUGAGGAAGCUAAACAUGAGAAUAAGGCUUAUUUAGGACUCCUUAGAAUAAUAGCCGUUAUGCAUGCAGGCACUGUAAGCGGAAGCCAGGCUGCAUGCAUG
Long non-coding RNA from Podarcis raffonei (Aeolian wall lizard), 1944 nucleotides. RefSeq lists it as uncharacterized. The record is from RefSeq and is a predicted model, not a curated record. Lineage: Eukaryota; Metazoa; Chordata; Lepidosauria; Squamata; Lacertidae. The transcript has 3 exons.